AGCUGAUGUAGUGAGAGGACUCCUUCUACCAUGCUCUCCUACCUCAGUGUGCUGCCUCAACAGAGACCCAAAUCAACAGCAUCAAUCAUUUCAAAAUGGAAACUCUGCUCACAGUUCACGGGCCAUGUAAAGGCAGAUGCACACCAACUCGUCCAAGAAAUCAGAGUCUGCCAGCCCAUAUUAGAGCAAAGUGUUCCAGACGUUUCUGUGAUUGUCUGAGAAGUGAGAAAGCCUUGGACAGAGCCUGCUCCCCUAGACAGCACGAGGUGCUGGAUGAAUACAGGGCAGCUUUGUGGAGGAACCGAGGACCAUCUUCCCCCUAAACACGAAGUCCAUAGCUGCCAGGACCUUGAAAUUCCCAGACAGUCAAGCACCACUGUUUGGGAUUAAGCAACAUUACGAGUGUGUCUUUGUCUUAUAUAUAUGAUGAGUACACAUAGCUGUCUACAGUCAUACCAGAAAAGGGAAUCAGAUUCAUUACAGAUGGUUGUAAGCCACCAUGUGGCUGAUGGGAAUUGAACUCAGGGCCUCUGAAAGAGCAGUGAGUGCUCUCAACCACUAACUUAGCCAUCUCUCCAGCACCCCCCACCCAUGAGUGUGUCGUUUUCUUUUUUAAAAAAUUUCUUUAUUUUAUGUAUAUAAGUACACCACUACUCUCUUCAGACACACCAGAAUAGGGCAUCAGAUCCCAUUACAGAUGGUUGUGAGCCACCAUGUGGUUGCUGGGAAUUGAACUCAGGACCUCUGAAAGAGCAGUCGGUGCUCUUAACCACUGAGCCAACCCUCCAGUCUGUGAGCAUGUCUUAAUGAUAGACAUGAGAUGCCAAAGUAGUAAUGUUCUUUGAGGAUUUGAAUUUACCUCCAGACUGAAAAGUUAAACAAACAAAAAGAACCUGCCCAAAUUAUCGUCAUCGUCAUCAUCAUCAUCAUCAUCAUCAUCAUCAUCUACAUCUUUGGGGUCUUUAAAUGAGAGGGGGUAAGUUAAAGUGCAUAAAGACAGAUGGAAAAUGGAACCACAGUUCCUGGAAAUCUCAGAUACAAGACUAGAGGUAUCAUGACUUCCUUGAAGAAUAAAGAAGUUGAUACAAAAUAUGAAUUCAAUUAUAAAACCAAACGAAAUUAACACUGUAUCCAUUUGUGACCAAUCUAGAGAACUCUCAAACAUUUAAGCCAGAUUGAUUUUGGUUUAAAAGCACUGUAGUUUCUCUAAUUAUUUUAAAAGAUGGGUCCUGUUUUAUUAUUUUUUUCAGGCAUGUUUGCAUGUUUUGACUUUUUCCUAGUCGAUAACUGAAAUGGUGGUGAAAUUUACCUAAGUGAGUAAAGCAGACGAAACAUUUGAAAGAUCAAUCAGCGCACAGAACCGUGUUCUCUUUAGCUCAUUGUCAAAUGGGCUCAUCUGGGUUGCACUGAUUUCCGGGUUAGAUCUGUCUACACUGAGUGUCUGGUUUCUUCCAGGGUCACCUUUGCACCUGUCUCUAUGCAUAGCUUUGGAAAGGGUUGUGUAGGAAAGAACACUGGGAAUAGUUAACGCCUCUGUUUAAGGCAGCUUAGGGUAUACAGAAUGGCACGAUUUAGUAAUGACCAUCAGGGAGAGCAUCCUUCCUGGACAUUCUGCUGACUAGAGAGGCAAGCUAUCUACCGUCCUGAACCUUCCAUCUAAACCCUACAAUGGGGAAAACAGGUCCUAGCAUUCAGGACUGUUUAGGUAGCGUUGAAGAGUUCCCAGAUGGUGCCUGGGAGGGUGAAUAAAUUUUCCUCACUUAGGGAUUCUCAUCUAAGUUCCCGACUUAACUAGGCACAUGUCCACAAGGCUCAACAGCCUCUGUACAUCGCCAUGAAGGGACAAAGCAGGGCCCUUGGCACACAGACAGUGCUCAGUAAACAUAUGGAGGUUGAUGAGUUAAUUAGCUGGCUAAUUAAUCAAUAUAACCAAGGCCCUUCCAUAAAAGAACAACAAGCUCACAAAGCCGUCCUUCUGUGGAGGUUUUACAGUCUCCCCAUUGAGUGAGUCAUGUCUAGAGGGUCACGGAUUGCACAAGGAGGAGUGAAGACGGAGCAGAGCCGGGGAGGUGAGCCUCUGGAGGAGGCCGCUCUCUUCCCGGCUCAGCCCGUUCGCCCUUUCCUCCAGUCGGUAUGCCAGCCUUGCUUUGUCGGCUGCCCACUGAAGUCUGUACAAAAGGGAACCUAGCAUUCCACGGGAUUCCCACCAGCAUCCUCCCACUUUUCCCGCUCCUCUCUUACCCACACCCCUGCAGCAAGAUGACUCAGAUUGAGCAAUAGAUCCACACGCUUUCCAGAAGCCCUGCGUGCUGAAACGGGGCUGCAUUCGCAGCGUCCUGAGACCAGGGAAGGAGUAUCACAAGUUCGAGGCCAGCCUGAGCUACAUAUCGAAGCUUGCGUGAAAUGAAACUUGUCAAUCAACGCAUCUCCCAAAAUAUUGAACUGAGAGGUACCGAUACAACUGGCCAAGGCCAAUGAACUCAGUAGCCUUCGGUGAGGUUUGUGGCACUACUGAGUCACAGUCAAAAUAAAUAAGGAAGUGAGCUGAAUGCAAAACAGUGCAGAUACUUGAGGGAAAGGAACAUGUGAAGCCACACGGAGAGGCAAAAGGAAAGGACGGUGGCUUCAGGGUCAAGUUGAUCCAGGUCCCUGUAUUGGGUCCCAGGCCACAGAGAUGCUAGGUAUCUAUAGCUGUCGAGCAUCUGCUCUGCUGGUAGAGACAUGAGCGUGUAUGAUACUGGCUGGGCCAGCAUGCAGACUGUACUGUGAGGACGACUUUUCUCAGCCACACCACCAGACCUACGUGUAGCUUCAUGUUCCUGUCUGAGCUGUGUCACUAGGCAACGUGGAGAGGAAGCAGAAGUCAAGCCGAUUCUCCUGACACUCACCACAGUUCAGUCACACUGUCUCCUUAUCAGUGCAGAACACAAGCCCCGAGUUAGUCAGGCCAAUGAGGCUGGCGUUACAGACUUACUUCACUUCCACACAGCCUCGACAGUGUGAUUGAUGUACCUUGAAAACAUUCUUAAAAAAAAAAAAACAAAAGCAAACAACAACAACAAAACCCGUAACCAUUUGCUAAAGAUUGAAUGCUUUAUGGUUCUGCUUAUAAGAAAGAGACCUAGGGAGUCACAUCUACAGAGAGUCAAACAAAAUGACUGGGUUGCUGGGAAUAGGAGAGCAGAAUUGGGGGUUCACAGUUAAUAGGUGCACACUUAGAUAUUGUGAGAUGGAAAUUCUGGAGGUAGAGGGGAGAUGAUGCUGUGUUGAAUGUGCAGAACACCAUCCAGCCGUGUAUUUAAUCGUGGUGGGAUUGGUCAAUUCCAUGUUGUAUUUGUUUAAACACAAUUAAGAACAGACAUGCUAGGCAGCGGAAGCCUCAGAGAGUGCUCUACAAAACCCUGUGCCUACUUAUAUUUGUCGUUAUGACAAGAGGGCUUAUUGCUUUAAGUUUAUUUUUGUAGAACGAGACUCUGAUACUUAGGCCAUUGAGAAGGACUUGGGGACCUCCUGCUUGCUUCUAUGAACACCAGACAAAAUGCCAAGGAAAACCACAGUCAGCCUAGAAUGAGAACAGGGUCGGUUCAUUUGUUCCUGACACUCAGCAUUCCUCUUCCUCCACCUCCUCUUCUCUCCACUCCUGACUGGCCUGGAGACCAGACCUGUCUGCCCCAGGGCCUGGGCUAAUAUACUUGGCAGGCCUCAGAAAGGAGCUUCAUCCUCCCUGGAGGACCACUUUGCCUAACUGGGCAGGUGGAAUGAAAGGGGUUUUGUCUGAGAUGUGUACUGAAAAUCCCAACUCAUGUGUGAAGAUUGUCAAGAAUAAAUCGCUUCUUCUUGAAUGUGCUCGAAUCUUGAAAUGAAAGGAGGAACAUUUUCACCCUAUCACCCAGUAAAAGCGUGCUUAACAGUUGUAACACAUGGAGUACUAUUCAGCCAUUAGAAACAAUGAAUUCAUGAUAUUCUUAGACAAAUGGAUGGAGCUGGAGAACAUCAUCCUAAGUGAGGUAACCCAGUCUCAAAAGAACACUCAUGGUAUGCAAUCACUGAUAAGCAGAUGUUAACCUAGAAGCUUGGAAUACCCAAGACACAAUCCACAUAUCAAAUGAUGUCCAAGAAGAAGGAAGGAGUGGCUCCUGGUUCUGGAAAGGCCCAGUACAGCAGUGUAGGGGAAUACCA
This is a long non-coding RNA of Apodemus sylvaticus (European woodmouse), 4179 nucleotides long. RefSeq lists it as uncharacterized. The transcript is spliced from 3 exons. The record is from RefSeq and is a predicted model, not a curated record. NCBI's taxonomy places the organism in Eukaryota, Metazoa, Chordata, Mammalia, Rodentia, Muridae.